This 829-nucleotide ribosomal RNA is filed under the name uncultured bacterium. Its description in RNAcentral is "bacterial SSU rRNA". It matches the Rfam family "Bacterial small subunit ribosomal RNA", at positions 43 to 862 of the family's 1533-position model. The record is from RNAcentral.
CAGGCUUAACACAUGCAAGUCGAGGGGAAACGACAUCGAAAGCUUGCUUUUGAUGGGCGUCGACCGGCGCACGGGAGAGUAACGCGUAUCCAACCUGCCCACCACUUGGGGAUAACCUUGCGAAAGUAAGACUAAUACCCAAUGAUAUCUCUAGAAGACAUCUGAAAGAGAUUAAAGAUUUAUCGGUGAUGGAUGGGGACGCGUCUGAUUAGCUUGUUGGCGGGGUAACGGCCCACCAAGGCAACGAUCAGUAGGGGUUCUGAGAGGAAGGUCCCCCACAUUGGAACUGAGACACGGUCCAAACUCCUACGGGAGGCAGCAGUGAGGAAUAUUGGUCAAUGGACGAGAGUCUGAACCAGCCAAGUAGCGUGCAGGAAGACGGCCCUAUGGGUUGUAAACUGCUUUUAUAAGGGAAUAAAGUGAGUCUCGUGAGACUUUUUGCAUGUACCUUAUGAAUAAGGACCGGCUAAUUCCGUGCCAGCAGCCGCGGUAAUACGGAAGGUCCGGGCGUUAUCCGGAUUUAUUGGGUUUAAAGGGAGCGUAGGCCGGAGAUUAAGCGUGUUGUGAAAUGUAGAUGCUCAACAUCUGAACUGCAGCGCGAACUGGUUUCCUUGAGUACGCACAAAGUGGGCGGAAUUCGUGGUGUAGCGGUGAAAUGCUUAGAUAUCACGAAGAACUCCGAUUGCGAAGGCAGCUCACUGGAGCGCAACUGACGCUGAAGCUCGAAAGUGCGGGUAUCGAAGGGGAUUAGAUACCCUGGUAGUCCGCACGGUACACCAUAAAGGGCCGCUGUUGGUCUGAAUAGGUCAGCGGCCAAGCGAAAGCAUAA